GAUGAACGCUGGCGGCGUGCUUAACACAUGCAAGUCGAGCGAGUGAGUUCUUCGGAACGAUCUAGCGGCGGACGGGUGAGUAACACGUGGGCAACAUGCCUCAUAGAGGGGAAUAGCCUCCCGAAAGGGAGAUUAAUACCGCAUAAAAUUAUCGAGUGGCAUCACACGGUAAUAAAAGGAGUAAUCCGCGAUGAGAUGGGCCCGCUGCGCAUUAGCUAGUUGGUGAUGUAACGGCUCACCAAGGCGACGAUGCGUAGCCGACCUGAGAGGGUGAUCGGCCACAUUAGGACUGAGACACGGCCCAGACUCCUACGGGAGGCAGCAAUGGGGAAUAUUGCACAAUGGGGGAAACCCUGAUGCAGCAACUCCGCGUGAGUGAUGAAGGUCUUCGGAUUGUAAAGCUCUGUCUUUGGGGACGAUAAUGACGGUACCCAAGGAGGAAGCCACGGCUAACUACGUGCCAGCCGUCGCCGUAA
This 476-nucleotide ribosomal RNA is filed under the name uncultured bacterium. RNAcentral describes it as "partial 16S ribosomal RNA". It matches the Rfam family "Bacterial small subunit ribosomal RNA", at positions 28 to 523 of the family's 1533-position model. The record is from RNAcentral.